UCCACUGUUGCGUUUUUCAUACGUACGUAUACGCACGUAAAACUUUAAAUCCAUUUAAAUGUUACUUAUGAAAUAACCAAAUAAAUAAAGCAACGGAAUUUAGUGUUCCGCAAGUUUUAGUAUGCAUUUGUUAACUUAUUUGUAAAAUAUUUAAAAAAUAGAAGGAUUCAAAGUUUUACGUGCGUGUACGUGCGUACGAAAAACGCAACAGUGGA
This 215-nucleotide microRNA precursor is filed under the name Paramuricea clavata. The record is from RNAcentral. Lineage: Eukaryota; Metazoa; Cnidaria; Anthozoa; Malacalcyonacea; Plexauridae.